AGUGAACGCUGGCGGUAGGCCUAACACAUGCAAGUCGAACGGCAGCACAGUAAGAGCUUGCUCUUACGGGUGGCGAGUGGCGGACGGGUGAGGAAGACAUCGGAAUCUACUUUUUCGUGGGGGAUAACGUAGGGAAACUUACGCUAAUACCGCAUACGACCUACGGGUGAAAGCAGGGGAUCUUCGGACCUUGCGCGAUUGAAUGAGCCGAUGUCGGAUUAGCUAGUUGGCGGGGUAAAGGCCCACCAAGGCGACGAUCCGUAGCUGGUCUGAGAGGAUGAUCAGCCACACUGGAACUGAGACACGGUCCAGACUCCUACGGGAGGCAGCAGUGGGGAAUAUUGGACAAUGGGCGCAAGCCUGAUCCAGCCAUACCGCGUGGGUGAAGAAGGCCUUCGGGUUGUAAAGCCCUUUUGUUGGGAAAGAAAAGCAGCAGGUUAAUACCCCGCUGUUCUGACGGUACCCAAAGAAUAAGCACCGGCUAACUUCGUG
Molecule: ribosomal RNA, 492 nt
Filed under: uncultured bacterium
Lineage: Bacteria
Description: partial 16S ribosomal RNA
Rfam family: Bacterial small subunit ribosomal RNA
Source: RNAcentral